RNAcentral lists this ribosomal RNA (543 nucleotides) under Colletotrichum gloeosporioides. RNAcentral describes it as "eukaryotic LSU rRNA". The stretch from base 184 to 337 matches the Rfam family "5.8S ribosomal RNA". The record is from RNAcentral. Lineage: Eukaryota; Fungi; Ascomycota; Sordariomycetes; Glomerellales; Glomerellaceae.
GAGGAUCAUUACUGAGUUUACGCUCUAUAACCCUUUGUGAACAUACCUAUAACUGUUGCUUCGGCGGGUAGGGUCUCCGCGACCCUCCCGGCCUCCCGCCUCCGGGCGGGUCGGCGCCCGCCGGAGGAUAACCAAACUCUGAUUUAACGACGUUUCUUCUGAGUGGUACAAGCAAAUAAUCAAAACUUUUAACAACGGAUCUCUUGGUUCUGGCAUCGAUGAAGAACGCAGCGAAAUGCGAUAAGUAAUGUGAAUUGCAGAAUUCAGUGAAUCAUCGAAUCUUUGAACGCACAUUGCGCCCGCCAGCAUUCUGGCGGGCAUGCCUGUUCGAGCGUCAUUUCAACCCUCAAGCUCUGCUUGGUGUUGGGGCCCUACAGCUGAUGUAGGCCCUCAAAGGUAGUGGCGGACCCUCCCGGAGCCUCCUUUGCGUAGUAACUUUACGUCUCGCACUGGGAUCCGGAGGGACUCUUGCCGUAAAACCCCCCAAUUUUCCAAAGGUUGACCUCGGAUCAGGUAGGAAUACCCGCUGAACUUAAGCAUAUC